RNAcentral lists this small RNA (414 nucleotides) under Pan troglodytes (chimpanzee). RNAcentral describes it as "processed transcript". The record is from RNAcentral. Lineage: Eukaryota; Metazoa; Chordata; Mammalia; Primates; Hominidae.
ACAUGGGAUCUAAGACAGGAGGAGGUUUCAAGAAACUGCGCAGAUCUGAAGCAGCAGCACCCCAGGCCACGCAAGCAGCACACACCGGGGCCCUCUGGCAGCUGCUGUGUUUAAUGAACGAGGAGGAGGUGGUGUGGCUUGGUGAGGGACACCAGGAGGAAAUGAGAUCGAAGGGUUGGAGCAUGGGUCUGUGGACCAUGGGAACCCUGGAAGCACUCGGAAGGACGGGGCCUGGUGGAGGAGGACUGGGAAAGCCGGGAAGCCGGGUCAAGGUGUGGGGUGUAGAGGCGCCCUCAGAUGUCCACACGGUCCAUUGGCCUCCGGGGUCCUCUGUUCCUGCUCUCCCUCAAGCCAUGGGAGCUUGGCAAUGGCAAGCCUGCACGAGCUGUGUGCUGCCAGAGUGUCAGAGGUCCU